Molecule: ribosomal RNA, 253 nt
Filed under: uncultured bacterium
Lineage: Bacteria
Description: partial 16S ribosomal RNA
Rfam family: Bacterial small subunit ribosomal RNA
Source: RNAcentral
UACGAAGGGGGCUAGCGUUGUUCGGAAUUACUGGGCGUAAAGCGCACGUAGGCGGCUUCUUAAGUCAGGGGUGAAAUCCUGGAGCUCAACUCCAGAACUGCCUUUGAUACUGAGAAGCUUGAGUCCGGGAGAGGUGAGUGGAACUGCGAGUGUAGAGGUGAAAUUCGUAGAUAUUCGCAAGAACACCAGUGGCGAAGGCGGCUCACUGGCCUGGUACUGACGCUGAGGUGCGAAAGCGUGGGGAGCAAACAGG